Molecule: ribosomal RNA, 1041 nt
Filed under: Bryophryne bakersfield
Lineage: Eukaryota; Metazoa; Chordata; Amphibia; Anura; Craugastoridae
Description: partial 16S ribosomal RNA
Rfam family: Bacterial large subunit ribosomal RNA
Source: RNAcentral
ACUCAGGAAAAGAAUUUUAGUUCUGCCUAAGCACUCUACAAUAAUAAUAAAAUUUACACUUUGCUUUAGAGUAAUUCAAACAAGGUUCAGCUUGUUUGAUAUAGGAUACAACCUCAACUAACGGGUAAUUUUUACACUAAUUAUAGCCUAGUUGGCCUAAUAGCAGCCACCACUAAAAGCGUCAUAGCUUACCUCUCCACCACAACCAAUAACUUUAAUUUUACCAAACCCUUCAUCAAUACUGAGUAGUUCUAUACUGGUAUAGAAGCUUUUCUGUUAAAACUAGUAACAAGAAAACAAUUUUCUCCCCGAUAUAAGCAUAAGUCAGUCUGUACCCCACACUGACAAUUAAUAGACCUAAACCUAAAGUAAUAACUCCACAAGAAAACACUACUCCCCACCCUAUUAACCUAACACAAGAACAUCUCAGGAAAGAUUAUAAAAAAAAGAAGGAACUCGGCAAACACUAAUCCCGCCUGUUUACCAAAAACAUCGCCUUUUGACACCCUCAUAAAAGGUCCAGCCUGCCCAGUGACUUUGUUCAACGGCCGCGGUAUCCUAACCGUGCAAAGGUAGCGUAAUCACUUGUUUUUUAAAUAAAGACUAGUAUGAAAGGCAUCACGAGGAUAAAGCUGUCUCCUUUUUUUGAUCAGUGAAACUAAUCUUCCCGUGAAGAAGCGGGAAUAUUUUAAUAAGACGAAAAGACCCUAUGGAGCUUUAAACAUUAUAGCACCUGUCAAUCCACCUCCCCCCACCUCAGACAUCAUUGACUAUAAGUUUUCGGUUGGGGCGACCACGGAGUAAAAUAAACCCUCCAAGUUGAUUAUACCCAUAAGCCCAGAGCCACAGCUCCAAGCAUUAAUAAAUUAACAUCAAUUGACCCAGUAUUCUGACCAACGAACCAAGUUACCCUAGGGAUAACAGCGCAAUCUACUUCAAGAGUCCCUAUCGACAAGUGGGUUUACGACCUCGAUGUUGGAUCAGGGUCUCCUAGUGGUGUAGCCGCUACUUUAGGUUCGUUUGUUCAACGAUUAAAACCCU